Molecule: ribosomal RNA, 362 nt
Filed under: Salmonella enterica subsp. enterica serovar Brandenburg
Lineage: Bacteria; Pseudomonadati; Pseudomonadota; Gammaproteobacteria; Enterobacterales; Enterobacteriaceae
Description: partial 23S ribosomal RNA
Rfam family: Bacterial large subunit ribosomal RNA
Source: RNAcentral
GGGUUGUGAGGUUAAGCGACUAAGCGUACACGGUGGAUGCCCUGGCAGUCAGAGGCGAUGAAGGACGUGCUAAUCUGCGAUAAGCGCCGGUAAGGUGAUAUGAACCGUUAUAACCGGCGAUUUCCGAAUGGGGAAACCCAGUGUGACUCGUCACACUAUCAUUAACUGAAUCCAUAGGUUAAUGAGGCGAACCGGGGGAACUGAAACAUCUAAGUACCCCGAGGAAAAGAAAUCAACCGAGAUUCCCCCAGUAGCGGCGAGCGAACGGGGAGGAGCCCAGAGCCUGAAUCAGCAUGUGUGUUAGUGGAAGCGUCUGGAAAGGCGCGCGAUACAGGGUGACAGCCCCGUACACAAAAGCGCAC